AGCUUAGAUUUGGAUAUUUUUCUUUUAGUCCAAUUUUAAGAAACAAAUAUGAAGCCCAAUACCCUCUAACCCCUAAAACCUUGUUCAUUUACUAACUUAAGCUCCUAAGAAGAAGCAGCGGUUCCCAUUUUCAAACAGAAAAUCCAACAAUCCCUGUUGUCAUCUUCAACACCCAACAUAAACCAUCCGAUGCUUCUUCUUCAACCUUCACAAAAACCAUCGCCCACCGACAUCUCUCCAAGGACAAACGACCCUUCUUCUUCGUCGAGAGACCACCCAAAACCCAGCUACCAGACACCACACCCCUCCGCCUUCCUAUACCCAGGGGAAACCACACGAAAAAUCACUCAAGAGAAUACACAAAUAGACAGAAAAGAAACGAGAAAAUCACAAAAAUGGGGAGCUCAAGAAAAAAAACUCUCCCCAUCAUUUUGACCAUGGAAACUCCGUGAAUUGUUCUCCGAUCUAGCAUCUUAAAGAUCUAACAAAAGCUUUGCCUUAACGCCCCAAAUGACCAUGAAAAUUAAGUAAAUAUUCACCUGCAACUAACUGAAAAUCACCUUUACACCACCCUCAGAAAAUCGUAAAAAUCAGCCGCAAAAUUUAGCUGAAACAGCUCCCGAAUCGCAGCUGAAAUCUACUACAACAGCGCCCAAAAUGCCACCAGAGAUUCGAGUCAAGUUGAUCGAGCUGUCCAUUUUCAAGUCCGACAUUUCGGCCCGUGUUCUGGUUCCCUUUGCCAUCGAGGAUUUUCGGUCCAGUUUUGCAUUCAUAUGUCGUUACUGUAACGGGAAAGGCUAUCAAUCUUUGAGGUUAAUUUAUUAUUCUAAUUUUAAAUUUCUUCUUCGUUUCAUCGUUAUUAGGCUUCAACGAUUGUGAUUGUUCUGCUUGUUUCGUUAUGUAUUUUCUUAAG
RNAcentral lists this long non-coding RNA (913 nucleotides) under Nicotiana benthamiana. Its description in RNAcentral is "long non-coding RNA (NBEN_LNC022486)". The record is from RNAcentral. Lineage: Eukaryota; Viridiplantae; Streptophyta; Magnoliopsida; Solanales; Solanaceae.